Molecule: ribosomal RNA, 2358 nt
Filed under: Salmonella enterica subsp. enterica serovar Montevideo str. NC_MB110209-0054
Lineage: Bacteria; Pseudomonadati; Pseudomonadota; Gammaproteobacteria; Enterobacterales; Enterobacteriaceae
Description: bacterial LSU rRNA
Rfam family: Bacterial large subunit ribosomal RNA
Source: RNAcentral
GGGUGUGACUGCGUACCUUUUGUAUAAUGGGUCAGCGACUUAUAUUCUGUAGCAAGGUUAACCGAAUAGGGGAGCCGGAGGGAAACCGAGUCUUAACCGGGCGUUAAGUUGCAGGGUAUAGACCCGAAACCCGGUGAUCUAGCCAUGGGCAGGUUGAAGGUUGGGUAACACUAACUGGAGGACCGAACCGACUAAUGUUGAAAAAUUAGCGGAUGACCUGUGGCUGGGGGUGAAAGGCCAAUCAAACCGGGAGAUAGCUGGUUCUCCCCGAAAGCUAUUUAGGUAGCGCCUCGUGAAUUCAUCUCCGGGGGUAGAGCACUGUUUCGGCUAGGGGGCCAUCCCGGCUUACCAACCCGAUGCAAACUGCGAAUACCGGAGAAUGUUAUCACGGGAGACACACGGCGGGUGCUAACGUCCGUCGUGAAGAGGGAAACAACCCAGACCGCCAGCUAAGGUCCCAAAGUCAUGGUUAAGUGGGAAACGAUGUGGGAAGGCCCAGACAGCCAGGAUGUUGGCUUAGAAGCAGCCAUCAUUUAAAGAAAGCGUAAUAGCUCACUGGUCGAGUCGGCCUGCGCGGAAGAUGUAACGGGGCUAAACCAUGCACCGAAGCUGCGGCAGCGACACUCAGGUGUUGUUGGGUAGGGGAGCGUUCUGUAAGCCUGCGAAGGUGGCCUGUGAGGGUUGCUGGAGGUAUCAGAAGUGCGAAUGCUGACAUAAGUAACGAUAAAGCGGGUGAAAAGCCCGCUCGCCGGAAGACCAAGGGUUCCUGUCCAACGUUAAUCGGGGCAGGGUGAGUCGACCCCUAAGGCGAGGCCGAAAGGCGUAGUCGAUGGGAAACGGGUUAAUAUUCCCGUACUUGGUGUUACUGCGAAGGGGGGACGGAGAAGGCUAUGUUGGCCGGGCGACGGUUGUCCCGGUUUAAGCGUGUAGGCUGGUGUUCCAGGCAAAUCCGGAAAAUCAAGGCUGAGGCGUGACGACGAGGCACUACGGUGCUGAAGCAACAAAUGCCCUGCUUCCAGGAAAAGCCUCUAAGCAUCAGGUAACAUCAAAUCGUACCCCAAACCGACACAGGUGGUCAGGUAGAGAAUACCAAGGCGCUUGAGAGAACUCGGGUGAAGGAACUAGGCAAAAUGGUGCCGUAACUUCGGGAGAAGGCACGCUGACAUGUAGGUGAAGUGAUUUACUCAUGGAGCUGAAGUCAGUCGAAGAUACCAGCUGGCUGCAACUGUUUAUUAAAAACACAGCACUGUGCAAACACGAAAGUGGACGUAUACGGUGUGACGCCUGCCCGGUGCCGGAAGGUUAAUUGAUGGGGUCAGCGCAAGCGAAGCUCCUGAUCGAAGCCCCGGUAAACGGCGGCCGUAACUAUAACGGUCCUAAGGUAGCGAAAUUCCUUGUCGGGUAAGUUCCGACCUGCACGAAUGGCGUAAUGAUGGCCAGGCUGUCUCCACCCGAGACUCAGUGAAAUUGAACUCGCUGUGAAGAUGCAGUGUACCCGCGGCAAGACGGAAAGACCCCGUGAACCUUUACUAUAGCUUGACACUGAACAUUGAGCCUUGAUGUGUAGGAUAGGUGGGAGGCUUUGAAGUGUGGACGCCAGUCUGCAUGGAGCCGACCUUGAAAUACCACCCUUUAAUGUUUGAUGUUCUAACGUGGACCCGUGAUCCGGGUUGCGGACAGUGUCUGGUGGGUAGUUUGACUGGGGCGGUCUCCUCCUAAAGAGUAACGGAGGAGCACGAAGGUUGGCUAAUCCUGGUCGGACAUCAGGAGGUUAGUGCAAUGGCAUAAGCCAGCUUGACUGCGAGCGUGACGGCGCGAGCAGGUGCGAAAGCAGGUCAUAGUGAUCCGGUGGUUCUGAAUGGAAGGGCCAUCGCUCAACGGAUAAAAGGUACUCCGGGGAUAACAGGCUGAUACCGCCCAAGAGUUCAUAUCGACGGCGGUGUUUGGCACCUCGAUGUCGGCUCAUCACAUCCUGGGGCUGAAGUAGGUCCCAAGGGUAUGGCUGUUCGCCAUUUAAAGUGGUACGCGAGCUGGGUUUAGAACGUCGUGAGACAGUUCGGUCCCUAUCUGCCGUGGGCGCUGGAGAACUGAGGGGGGCUGCUCCUAGUACGAGAGGACCGGAGUGGACGCAUCACUGGUGUUCGGGUUGUCAUGCCAAUGGCACUGCCCGGUAGCUAAAUGCGGAAGAGAUAAGUGCUGAAAGCAUCUAAGCACGAAACUUGCCCCGAGAUGAGUUCUCCCUGAGACUUUAGGUCUCCUGAAGGAACGUUGAAGACGACGACGUUGAUAGGCCGGGUGUGUAAGCGCAGCGAUGCGUUGAGCUAACCGGUACUAAUGAACCGUGAGGCUUAACCUUAC